This 1332-nucleotide long non-coding RNA is filed under the name Marmota monax (woodchuck). The record is from RNAcentral. Lineage: Eukaryota; Metazoa; Chordata; Mammalia; Rodentia; Sciuridae.
CUUAUCUAGUCGCUGUUCCUCUGAUCUUGGUCUUCCCUUUCAUGUCACCCCCAGUUAUCUUCAGGAUUUUGCUCUAUUAUUUCAUCUCCUUCCAAUAGCUUUAAGCUUUGCUCAGUUUUAUCCUAUCAGAAAACUAUACCAAUCUGGUCCAGAGACUGCCUUCUUCAGCCACUGCUUAUUCCCCUUUCCUUUAUGCCAAGAUUAUUUCAAAAAAAAAUUCUGUAUUCUCUUCCUGUCUUCUACAUCAUACUUUGACCACUGAAUCUGUUCUUCCAGAGACAUCCCUAACUUUCUAAUGGUUCAUCUAUUUACUGUUCUGUAUUCUCAUUUGAUUAGACUUCUUCAUAGUAUUUUAUACCUGCCUGAAGAGCAGUUGUUCUUUAUUUUUUACUAAAUAACCAUUGUACUUUUGGAAGGAAGUUUAGAAAUCAUUACUAAUUUUAGGUCCCUAAAAUUAACUUUGUGUCCUAGUACAAGAAGAUACUAAGACAUUUAAGGACCAAAAUUUGUGGGAAUGCCUACUGUAUGCCUGAUAUGAUGCUAGUUGUUUUCCAUAAAUUUAGUUACAACUUCUAGUGACUUUGGCAGGUGUUGGUUCUGAAUGUGCAAAUGAGGAAAUUGAAACAUGGAGAUCUGAAAGUUACUUUUUUUUUUUUAGUUGUAGAUGGACACAAUCCCUUUAUUUUAUUUAUUUAUAUGUGGUCCUGAGGAUGGAACCCAGUGCCUCACACGUCAGGCAAGCGCUCCACCACUGAGCUACAACUCCACCCCUGCAAGUUACAUCUUUUUUUUUAAAUAUAUUUUUUUUAAAGAUGGAUAAGAUAUCUUUAUUUUUAUGUGGUGCUGAGGAUCAAACCCAGUGCCUCAUUUGUGCGAGGCAAGAGCUCUAUCACUGAGCUAUAACCCCAGCUUCUGAAAGUUACUUCUUAUAUGUAUUGUAGCUUAUAUAUACACCUUAUUUUAUAGCUUAGACUUAAAUUCAAACAUUCAUACUCUUUCCAUUAAAUACUCAGGUAUGUGUCUAUUAAGCCUGUCUUUUUUUCUUUGGUUGGAGAUUAAACCCAGUGCCUUGUGUGUGCUUUGUACCAGUAAGCUAUACUUUCAGCCCUCCAUUUUUUUGUUUGACUUAUAUGUCUGUCUAUAUAUAUUAGAUGAACUAGAAUGAUUGUUAUGUCAGAGAAAAGACCUAUAUUAAUUCUGAUUAGGUGGAUAACUUGUGUUUCAAUAUGAAAGCCAUAAUAAAUGGCUUUCAGUCUUUAGAAUUUUAUUAGCUCAAUAUCUAUCACAAAAAACUAAUCUUAGUUGUUUUCUUUCUAAAAUAGUGUUUCUGUC